AUCAUAGCUCUCCCACUUUUUUGUGUUGAUUUUAUGAGAGUUAUAAAACCAAAGUCUAAUUAAGCGCACAUGUACAUUAUUAGAACAAAGGAAUUCCCGCCCCUCUCACCUCCCUCCAUCCUCUCGAUCGCUUAAAAAACAAAACAGAGCUGGCCAUUUUUUUUGGAAGAUUUUUACGCACCUGCAGUCCCCAUAUAAAUAAACACGCAGAGCCGGAGCCAUUUCACCUCGCUCAAAGAGCAAGGCAUUGGCUUCUCUCUGCCCACGUCCUGCCCACUUCCUGCUCAAUGAGGAAACUUCACACAAAAGCCGACUGUACUCUCACAAUAUUUCUUUGUUUGCCGUCAACUUUGAUACAUUUGCAAAAUACUGCUCAGCAGAGACCAUUUCACGACGUGAAUGAAUCAUUUCUUUUUUUUUUAUUCGGCUGGGUGUGCCGGAGGCGUGCGUAGCGUGCGGUUGGGUAACGGGCAAACCUGGGCUCGGCUCUCGGGUUUCCUGGUGGGCUCAGCGUGAGUCUGGGCCUCCUUGAAAUGAAAGUAGAAAAUAUGAAGUGGCCUUUUUUAUGUUUUGAGACUGCGUGUCCGUGUUAAAAAGAAAAGUCCAACGCGGUAUAAUUUAAUCCGCUGAGGAUGCUUCACGCGCCUGAUGCAUUUGCGGAUGAAUUGAGCACUCAUCAAGGCACAAGGCAUGCAGCCUCUUGCGCCGUCCCAAAAACAAACAAACAAACAAUAAAGAGUUGUCGUAUUUAAAAGUCACAGAUUUGGUUCCCAAAUGAUGUUGAGAAAGUUUAAACGGCGGAAAUGUGUGCACCGUAUGCAAGACAUAAAUACAAAGUGUGGCACCGCGCUGCUCGAAUCUUUCACACCUUCAGGUUUUACUGUCCUGCCAGUUGGCCUGAGCUGUUGAUACAGAGUUUAUGCAUGCGUGGCAUGUAAUAAACUAAAUAAAUAACGAUCACAGCCACUCUCUUUUAACCGAUGGAUGACGGAUCAAAGGCCUCCCCUCGGCCAUGUCAGUUAUGGGUUCAUCAUACUGUUUUAUUAAUUCCAACCCAAUAAUAAUUUACAGCACUGUGUUAAUUCGCUGCUGAAUUAAGGCCUUCCCUCACUGUGUUAGUCGCGGGGUGGGAGGAAGGCGAGUGGAGAGGGGUUCACGCAAGUAGGUGAAAGGACCAUUGCCACUGAUGUUAGCCGUGGCUGGAAUUGAACUUGGGUUGGCUGGGUUCAUAGUACAGUAUGCUAACCAUAUGCCACCCGCUUUAUAGAUGUCAAAUAUAUAUAAAUAUAUCUUGCCUUCGUGGCAAAUAUAAAAAAAAACAAGGGCAGGAUCCCAUAUUUAGAAGUUGAAGGCCACAGUCAAGAAUUUUGGUUAAGUGUAGGCUGCCCAAAUAGAAAUUAAUGUGAAAUACCAGCCACCAUUCCGUUCCAACAAAUCAACAAACGUUGCAUUGUGCAUUAUGGGAAUUGGGUGGUUGGCUUUUAGUUUUAUUUUACAGAAUACCAAAAUUUCCAAACGUAAAAUUAUACAUACUUUUGUUUUAAGUAUAUCAUAUCAUGUAUAAAUGUAAAAUGCCCUUUUCCAGAUCAUUUACAUAUAUUUUUCAAAAGUAAAGAUUAUUUAGGCCAAUAAGCGGCACAGAGGACUCUGCACUGCACCAAUUUUCCCUCGCAACUCCCCCCCUACCCCGCCCCUCCCACAAUACCUCCCGGUGCACGCUGCACACCGUUGGUCUGUGGGUGGCCCGCCCCCCAGGGAUGCCUCCGCAUGUCCGUCAAGCCUGCCGGCUUUCCGAAUUUAGCUCCCGACAUCUGGUUCUUAUAUCAGCUGCCCUUUUAAUAUAGCGUCAGCGGGUGGGAGCCAAGCGGGCCACCGGGCAGCCCGGCCAAAAGGGCUCCUCAACAUGCCGGGUUUUGAGAACAUUGCACAAUUCACGAAGCAUGAACCCUUAUCUCUCAUCCAUCGCAACUUCCCGAAGAAGAUCUCGCGCCACAGGGAGCGAAGCCGAGAGCCGAACACCGAGCGGCAGGAGCUGCAAGCGCGUCUGAGGGCCACACAGCAACUCAAGCGGCGUGGAGCGUCCAGAAAUGUGGCUCGUACAAUCGGCGAAGCAUCUCGUGUAAAGCAUAUUCGAUCAAGAUGGUUGUGACGAUUCCGACGCGAGUGGCAGCUGUUAUUUAAUAUCGUGUGCUUCAUGUACUAUCUGUACCAGCCUGUUUUUAUUAAUAAUUGAAUGUUUGAACUUUAAAAGGUACGCGUACACAUGUCUAAAGUAUAUGGGAGCUAUCUUAAGUUUCCCUUAAAAAAAAACCCCUCGAUGUUCUGAUGCAAGCAUCUGUGACUGGGAACGAGACAAAACAUUCAACUUGUACUGUGUAACUAUUAUUAGUUUUAUCGAACAUUCAAUAUUAUUAACACGUAGGCUUUCGCGACCAAUAUUAUUCAUAAUAAAGGUUUAUUAUGAAAACUUUUAUUAUGAAUUCAAUAUUAUACUUACAAAACAGUUACGUAUUAUUAAAUUGUUCUUUGGUAGACGGAAACACAUGCAAAAACAAAU
This is a non-coding RNA of Petromyzon marinus (sea lamprey), 2557 nucleotides long. NCBI's taxonomy places the organism in Eukaryota, Metazoa, Chordata, Hyperoartia, Petromyzontiformes, Petromyzontidae. The record is from RefSeq and is a predicted model, not a curated record.